This is a small nuclear RNA of 57 nucleotides. Its record names the gene U7. It matches the Rfam family "U7 small nuclear RNA". Rfam says of the family: Animal histone pre-mRNAs are spliced by a different mechanism than nuclear pre-mRNAs and self-splicing introns. The record is from Ensembl.
UGAUGUUUAGCUCUUUUAGUAUUUGUCUAGAAGGUUUUCUCCGUGUCGAAUGCCCCG